Molecule: transfer RNA, 74 nt
Filed under: Dreissena polymorpha
Lineage: Eukaryota; Metazoa; Mollusca; Bivalvia; Myida; Dreissenidae
Description: tRNA-Thr
Rfam family: tRNA
About the family: Transfer RNA (tRNA) molecules are approximately 80 nucleotides in length. Their secondary structure includes four short double-helical elements and three loops (D, anti-codon, and T loops).
Source: RNAcentral
GGCCAGGUUAGCUCAGUCGGGAGAGCAUUCGCCAUGUAAGCGAGAUUUCCCGGGUUCGAGUCCCGAAUUGGCCG